Molecule: unclassified non-coding RNA, 307 nt
Filed under: Hevea brasiliensis (rubber tree)
Lineage: Eukaryota; Viridiplantae; Streptophyta; Magnoliopsida; Malpighiales; Euphorbiaceae
Source: RNAcentral
CUUGGAGAUGGAGCAAGAAUUUUGAAGGUUCAGUGCUUCUCUUUCCAAUUUUUCAGCUAUCAAUUUUUUGGUUUCGUUUUCGUUAUAUUAGGAUGGAGUUCUUUUAGUUAUAAUAACUUUGAAUUAGAUUCAGAAGUCAAUUUGAUUUGAUCAGAUUGUUUGCGAUUGGUUUGAAAAAAAUUACACCGAAAUCCAACUACAGGCAGCAAUAGCAUGACCAAUGAUCAGAACCAUAGUGGCAUUUUACUCAUCUGAUCUGAAAAUCACUACAAUAUAGGAGAUAGAUUUUCAAGGUAGGUCGGAGUUC